ACUUAGAAAUCAUGGAGGGGUCAUGGAGAACAGGUAGCAGCACCCAAUUUUAAAGAUGACCUCCAGUAAAAGAAGUAAUAUUUGGCUUCAUUUUGAGGAGGCUGGACCUAAUUAGGCAAAAUGCAAGUUUUGCAACAAUAUUUUGUCAGGCCAAGGAGGAACAACAUCAAAUUAUAGAUGUCAUCUCCAAGUAAAGCAUCCAACUGCAUUGCUUAUGCAAGUGAGACAAGAGGAUCCUAUGGAAUCUACACCAGCCUCAGGUAGUAGUGCUUCUGUGACUGCAGUCUUCUCUAAUACUGGCUCUACGGCAUCCACAUCUGGAACUGGCACCAGUGUCCAACUAACAAGACAAAGUCAAAUUACAAGCUUUCUGAGAACACCAAUUGGCCCUAUCAGACAAAACAAUUAGGAUGAGGAACUAGUUAAAAUGAUUACAGCAGAUUGACAACCUUUCUCAAUUGUUACCGACACAGGAUUUAGAAGAUUUGUGAAGGCACUUGAUCCAUCAUAUGUUUUACCAAACAGAAAGACCACAGCUUUACAACAAAAUGAAAGAAGAGCUGAUGGUAAAAGUCAGCAAUGCCGCUGCUGUGUGUCUGACCACUGAUUGCUGGACAUCACGAACAACUACCAGUUUUAUGGCAGUCACUUGUCAUUUUAUUGAUGAAGAUUUUACAAUUUCAUCAUCUCUUCAGGACUGCUACUCAUUUACAGACAGACACACUGCUGACAACCUAGCACUGAACUUGUGGAAAAUCACAAACAAAGUUGUUGCUUGUGUUUCUGACAAUGGCAGCAACAUAAAAGCAUCCAUUCGGAAAGCUGAAUGGAGGCACUUGCCAUGCUUUGCCCAUUUACUUUAAACCUUAUUGUAAGGGAAAGCUUGAAACACAUUCAAGAGACAGUUGCAAAAGUGAAGAAUGUUGUUGAAUAUGUCAACAGAAGCACCGUUGCCACAGAAAGAUCAAAAGCAACACAAAAACAAAUGGGCCUUGAAGAGCUUAGGCUCAAGCAGGAUGUAAUAACAAGAUGGAACUCUACUUAUUACAUGCUGAAAAGAUUUUGGCUGCAGAAGGAAGCAAUCAUUGCUACACUUGCCCUGGUUAACCCCAACCUUCCAACACUGACACUUGAUGAACGGGACAUAAUUAAAAAUAUAUGUGACUGCAUCCAAGGUCAUUUUGAUGUCAAGGGGACUGCAAAAAGUUGUCCAGCGAUUGAGGGGUGCUGUGUUUAACCAUGGCCCAGUUACUGCAAUGAUAGACUCAUUGGCUGAAGACAUGCAAAGGCGCUUUCACCAAAUUGAGCAUUUUCGUCUUUAUUCUGAGGCAACGCUGCUUGACCCCAGAUUUAAACAAAAGGCAUUUCAUGAUGCAGCAGUUGCAGACAAAGCAGCCAAAAGCAUAACUGCUGCUGCGGCAAGGGUUUGGUCCAGAACCGAAGAGCAAACUCAAGCCGAGCGCACAGCUCCUUCUUCAUCUGAACAAGUGUCUUCAAUCUGGAAGGAUUUUUAUGAGAGAGUGUCUGAUGCAGUCAGCAUCAGCAACCCAACAUCCACUGCAAUGGCAUCAAUGCGAGGUUAUCUUGCAGAGACCUUAAUUCCCAGAACAGAAGACCCACUGGCAUGGCGGAAAUCAUUUAUUAUAAAUUCUACUUGUGAAAGUGUCAUGAUUUACUCUAGUAAUAGUAAAUUUAUUCCUUCCUUUUAAACAAUCAGCUGGUUUUAAGGAAAAACAAGGAAUCACAUUUUUGUGCAGCAUCCAUGAUUAUGAUCAUACAAAUCCAUCUGGUGAAAAAGUGUUGAACACAUGAAGAAAGGCAGGUGAAAAAAGGCAUGGAAGUCGAGACACCAGCUGAAAUCAAUCAGUAAUUAGAAAGCAGUCCUGCCCCGUGUCAGUGAAAAUCAAUAUCAGCUGCUUCAGUCCCAACUAAUGGCCUGUAUAAAGAUCUCAUUACCAAGGUGUCACACAAGAAACAUCUCAUGAUGGGUAAAAGUGAAGAGCUCUCUCAAGACCUUCACAACCUUAUUGUUGCAAAACAUACUAAUGGCAAUGGUUACACAAGGAUUUCCAAACUUCUGAAUGUUCCAGCGAGAACUGUUAGGAUCAUAAUCCAGAAGUAGAAAGAACAUCAUCUCACCAUAAAGCAGCCAUGACCAGGUGCUCCUUACAAGAUUUUAGACAGAGGAGCAAAAAGAAUAUCAGAAGAGUUGUCCAAGAGCCAAGGACCACUUGUGGAGAGCUUCAGAAAGACCUGGAAUUAGCAGCUACAACUGUUUAGAAGAAAAGCCCCUGCUGCAAAGAAGGGAGACCUGACCCAGCUGAAGAACUGGUGCCCAGUGUCACUACUGUACUGUACUGUACUGUAUAGGCUCCUCCCCCUCUGAUCAGCACCAAUGAUGACGAAGAACAAUCAUUAAGGCAGAGCUACUCUUAAUUAUUUCAUCUCAUAAAUAUUUCUGGUUUUGAUACGGUUCUUAUGACCUUCGUUACACUAGCAACAAGUACACGCUUGUAAAGAGGAAUGCCUGUCAAGAGGACCACAUCUAUGUGAUGAGACUGUUUGUUGCCUAGUAAUGUCAGAAAUCUAUCUAAACCCACCCACUUCAUGACAGAGUGGAAAGACUUUAUUGGGAAGUAAUAUAU
This is a long non-coding RNA of Silurus meridionalis, 2645 nucleotides long. RefSeq lists it as uncharacterized. The record is from RefSeq and is a predicted model, not a curated record. NCBI's taxonomy places the organism in Eukaryota, Metazoa, Chordata, Actinopteri, Siluriformes, Siluridae. The transcript has 4 exons.